RNAcentral lists this transfer RNA (95 nucleotides) under bacterium HR09. Its description in RNAcentral is "tRNA-Asp". The record is from RNAcentral.
UCGGAAAUUAGCUGGAAAUGGGGCUGGUGGAAGUUGUCAAUUUCUCCGGGGUAGGUCAGGGGGUUGAACUUGCGGUCCCUAUCCGCAUUUCCGGU